CCUACGGGAGGCAGCAGUGAGGAAUAUUGGUCAAUGGGCGGAAGCCUGAACCAGCCAAGUCGCGUGAGGGAUUAAGGCCCUGCGGGUCGUAAACCUCUUUUGCCGGGGAGCAGUGGUCCGGACGCGUCCGGACCGGGAGAGUACCCGGAGAAAAAGCAUCGGCUAACUCCGUGCCAGCAGCCGCGGUAAUACGGAGGAUGCGAGCGUUAUCCGGAUGUAUUGGGGUUAAAGGGUGCGUAGGCGGGCAUUUAAGCCGGCGGUCAAAUGGCGGGGCUCAACCCCGGCCUGCCGUCGGAACGGGUGGCAUUGAGGGGGCGAGAAGUAUGCGGAAGGCGGGGGGUAGCGGUGAAAGGAAUAGAUAUC
Molecule: ribosomal RNA, 363 nt
Filed under: uncultured bacterium
Lineage: Bacteria
Description: partial 16S ribosomal RNA
Rfam family: Bacterial small subunit ribosomal RNA
Source: RNAcentral